Non-coding RNA from Hordeum vulgare subsp. vulgare (domesticated barley), 74 nucleotides. NCBI's taxonomy places the organism in Eukaryota, Viridiplantae, Streptophyta, Magnoliopsida, Poales, Poaceae. The record is from Rfam.
AGGGAUGUAGCGCAGCUUGGUAGCGCGGUUGUUUUGGGGACAAAAAGUCACAGGUUCAAAUCCUGUCAUCCCUA